This 395-nucleotide ribosomal RNA is filed under the name uncultured Barnesiella sp. RNAcentral's name for it is "bacterial SSU rRNA". It matches the Rfam family "Bacterial small subunit ribosomal RNA", at positions 354 to 745 of the family's 1533-position model. The record is from RNAcentral. Lineage: Bacteria; Pseudomonadati; Bacteroidota; Bacteroidia; Bacteroidales; Barnesiellaceae.
UGAGGGAAUAUUGGGCCAAUGGGGCGCAGGCCUGAACCAGCCAAGUCGCGUGAGGGAUGACGGUCCUACGGAUUGUAAACCUCUUUUGUCGGGGAGUAACGUGCGGGACGCGUCCCGUAUUGAGAGUACCCGAAGAAAAAGCAUCGGCUAACUCCGUGCCAGCAGCCGCGGUAAUACGGAGGAUGCGAGCGUUAUCCGGAUUUAUGGGUUUAAAGGGUGCGCAGGCGGCGCGCCAAGUCAGCGGUCAAAGUUCCGGGCUCAACCCGGUGUCGCCGUUGAAACUGGCGUGCUCGAGUGCGUGCGAGGAAGGCGGAAUGCGUUGUGUAGCGGUGAAAUGCGUAGAUAUUAGGAGGAACACCAGUGGCGAAGGCGGCCAACUGGGGCUUUUACUGACG